Molecule: ribosomal RNA, 203 nt
Filed under: Nectriaceae sp.
Lineage: Eukaryota; Fungi; Ascomycota; Sordariomycetes; Hypocreales; Nectriaceae
Description: partial large subunit ribosomal RNA
Source: RNAcentral
AAGCGUUUAUGACCAGACUUGGGCUUGGUUAAUCAUCUGGGGUUCUCCCCAGUGCACUUUUCCAGUCCAGGCCAGCAUCAGUUUUCCCCGGGGGAUAAAGGCGGCGGGAAUGUGGCUCUCUUCGGGGAGUGUUAUAGCCUAGGGUGCAAUGCAGCCUGCUGGGACCGAGGACCGCGCUUCGGCUAGGAUGCUGGCGUAAUGGU